UGGGGAAUAUUGGACAAUGGGGGCAACCCUGAUCCAGCAAUGCCGCGUGUGUGAAGAAGGUCUUCGGAUUGUAAAGCACUUUCGACGGGGACGAUGAUGACGGUACCCGUAGAAGAAGCCCCGGCUAACUUCGUGCCAGCAGCCGCGGUAAUACGAAGGGGGCUAGCGUUGCUCGGAAUGACUGGGCGUAAAGGGCGUGUAGGCGGUUUACACAGUCAGAUGUGAAAUCCCCGGGCUUAACCUGGGAGCUGCAUUUGAUACGUGUAGACUAGAAUGUGAGAGAGGGUUGUGGAAUUCCCAGUGUAGAGGUGAAAUUCGUAGAUAUUGGGAAGAACACCGGUGGCGAAGGC
Molecule: ribosomal RNA, 350 nt
Filed under: uncultured bacterium
Lineage: Bacteria
Description: partial 16S ribosomal RNA
Rfam family: Bacterial small subunit ribosomal RNA
Source: RNAcentral